Molecule: long non-coding RNA, 455 nt
Organism: Toxotes jaculatrix (banded archerfish)
Lineage: Eukaryota; Metazoa; Chordata; Actinopteri; Toxotidae
Exons: 4
Source: RefSeq, a predicted model, not a curated record
CGCCAGUAUAAAUCCCGCCCUCUUUCGUCGUCACAUCCUCUUUCCGUUGCUCUUCUCGCUUUGAGAAACCUCUCCACACGAUGAGAGCCAAGUGGAGGAAGAAGCGUAUGCGCAGGCUGAAGCGUAAAAGGAGAAAGAUGAGGCAGAGGUCAAAGUAAGCCCUCAUCGCUGCCAGCUGUGAUCCCGUCGGAGCCUCUCUGGGUGACUGACACGUGUGGCUGAAGUGGAUCGUGUGGAGCCGCCAUCAGUGAAACUAAGGCCGAAAACCUGUUUUCAGAUGACUGCAUGUCUCAUGGAGCCAGCUGUGGAUGUCUGACCGGACGAUGGCAGAGACGCUGGACAGAUCUCUCAACAUCAGGAUGACAGCUGCUGUGUUCAUGGACCAUAAUACAUAUUGUUUACCAACAACUGUCAUGUGGUGUAUUGAACAAUAAAUGAACACUGUUAAACGUUUA